UACAGAGGUCCCAAGCGUUGUUCGGAUUCAUUGGGCGUAAAGGGUGCGUAGGCGGCGCGGUAAGUCGGGUGUGAAAUCUCGGAGCUUAACUCCGAAACUGCAUUCGAUACUGCCGUGACUCGAGUCCGGUAGGGGAGAAUGGAAUUCCCGGUGUAGCGGUGAAAUGCGCAGAGAUCGGGAGGAACACCCGUAGCGAAGGCGGUUCUCUGGGCCGGUACUGACGCUGAGGAGCGAAAGCGUGGGGAGCAAACAGG
Molecule: ribosomal RNA, 254 nt
Filed under: uncultured bacterium
Lineage: Bacteria
Description: partial 16S ribosomal RNA
Rfam family: Bacterial small subunit ribosomal RNA
Source: RNAcentral